RNAcentral lists this unclassified non-coding RNA (437 nucleotides) under Amphidasya colombiana. RNAcentral's name for it is "partial external transcribed spacer". The record is from RNAcentral. Lineage: Eukaryota; Viridiplantae; Streptophyta; Magnoliopsida; Gentianales; Rubiaceae.
GCAGGAUCAACCAGGUAGCAUUCCUCAUUGACAACGGCAUUGCAAGACGGUGCUCAACCACGAAGGCCUUAGCACGUCAACACAACACCAGACGUCGUUCGUUUGUGCGAAUUACGCUAGUUUUGGGUAAAAGGAAGUCAUCGACCCCAUACCCUCUAGGUAUUCCGUAUCCGAGAGCUCAACCAAAAUUCAUGGGCCGCAACAACAACACGACGAGUGAGUGGCACGGAACACAAAUAACGUUUCGAUAUUCACCCGCCGCAGCACCCUUAUAAGGGGCAACACUAGGUGAACGAUGGGCUAAUUGACAACCGAAUUCCAUUCUAGUAGGUAUGCAACACAGGAAACCGUAUCGUUCGGCCAAGGCUAAUGCCGCUCUUGGGCCGACAAAUGAAGAGGAUUGUAUGGGAGGACGUCAUUGCCCAAGCAUAGAUCCA